This 2820-nucleotide long non-coding RNA is filed under the name Sus scrofa (pig). RNAcentral's name for it is "lncRNA (ENSSSCG00040038516.1)". Lineage: Eukaryota; Metazoa; Chordata; Mammalia; Artiodactyla; Suidae. The record is from RNAcentral.
AGGGCCGCUCCUGCGGCAUAUGGAGGUUCCCAGGCUAGGGGUCUAAUCACAGCUGUAGCCACUGGCCUAUGCCACAGCCACAGCUAUGCCAGGUCCAAGCUGCGUCUGGAACCUACACCACAGCUCACGGCAAUGCUGGAUCCUUAACCCACUGAGCAAGGCCAGGAGAUCAAACCCGCAACCUCAUGGCUCCUAGUUGGGUUGGUUAACCACUGUGCCACGCAAUCCUCAGAAAAGCAACAUUUAUUAAAUCAGGAGAUUACAAUAUCAAUGGGAAGUUAUCAUGCAAUAACCUUCUAUUGAUUUGUGUAUUGCCAGUAAUGAAAUCAUCUGGAAUAUUAUUUAUUAAACAUAUUGAUUAGCAAAAAAUAAUUUGCAGGAACGGGAGCCUGACUCUGCAGGGCAUCCCACCAAGCUCUGGGUGUACACACAAUUUUCCCUUUUUGCUGGGGGAAGAGCCAUACUGAGUGUUGGACCUAACAGAAAACUAGCUCCAAGAUGCAGCGUCCUCAUGAGUGGGCACCAUUGUGGGUGGUGGACUGGCAGCCUACUAGACUGACCCUCGGUGUCUGUGCAAUCAGCCAGGGAGGGCCUGGGACAAGCAGCCAUUGUUUCUCCAUUAAAAGGAUGGAUGAACUAGUAAUUGGUACUUACUCCUGCUUAUCCCAGGGACAGAGGGAUGGAGUGGGGAACUGAGGGGUGGGGCAAAGUCUAGAGGAAGAGCAUUUUGACUCAGGUUCCUCCCAAAGCAGAUGCUAGGAUGAGAAAGUUGGGUGCAGGUAAUUAACUUGGGAGGUGACCCCAGGAAGCAUAGUGAAUGAGAAAGAAGGAAAGGGAAACAGGAGGGAGCAGAGUCAUCGGUGAUGUGUUAUUGAUGGGAUGUGGUUGUCAAUAACUGGGGCUCAGUUCUGCGGGAUGAUCCUCCAAGAGGUGUGUGUGCCGCUUCUCAGAAUUGUCCCCCCAAAGGGCAAAGAAGGGGCAUUUACUAGUAGUUCUUGCCCCUCAUUGGCUGAGGGCUGCUCCUUGUUGCCUUCAUUUUCCAGCAUCUCUGGCAUUUCUAGACUAUUCCACAUGCUCGCUGAACAUGUUUCCCAGGCAGUGUGUAGCCUCAGACAGAAAAAAGUGGGUGCUUGAGCUAGCGGGCUUCCUGAUGUAUGGGAGCUGUCCAGCGCAGCUGGGGGUGUGCAAGGCUCUGAUGGGAUGACGGAGGUACCCCGACAGGGUCUCUACAGACUACCAAGGGUCAAUCAAGGGCAGGUUCUCUCUGCAGCUGCCUUUGACCUUUAACUCCUGCCUCACAGGGUCUCGGGAACCUGAGUCCUCUCUCUUCCUUGGACAGGAUCCGGGAUUUUCACAGACUGAUCCAGGAAGGGCAGUAGUGAAAUUAACAACCCAUUGCUGAGUGCUUAGUAAAUGCCAUCGCCCUUGCCUAUAAUUUCGUUCUGAGAAGAAUGGCUCUGAGCCAUGUGAUCUGGAACUGGACUGCCAGGUAUGGCAUCCUGGCUUUAUUUCUACUCAUUCUGUGACCCAGAAUGAGGAAUGUAACCUCUCUGAUCCUCAGUGUCCUUGUCUACUAUGGGGGUAAUAGUAGUCCCUGACCCAUAGGCAAUUGUGUGGAUUAAAUGAUAUAAUAAGGAGCGCCCGCUGUGGCACAGUGGGUUGAGGAUCCAGCAUUGCUGCAGCUGUGGUGCAGGGUUCUACCCUGGCCAGGGAACUUCCAUAUGCUGUGGAAAUAAAUAAAUAAAUAAAAAAUAAAUAAAUAACAUUAGGAAAGUUGGUUAUAACAUAGUGAUUUUAGUGUAUGUGUGUGUGUGUGUAUAUAUACACACACACACACAUACACACACACACACACAUAUAUAUCAUCACCAUUAAAAAUAUGUACAUAUAUAUUUUAGUGUAUGUACACACACACACACACACACACACACACACAAACAUACACGUGUAUAUAUAUAUAUUCUCCAUUACUCAGUUCUGGAAUACAUGGCCUUAAGAUGAUGGCUCCGUGCUGUGCCCAACCUAUUGGUUUGUUUCAUCCCCUGCCCUUUUCUGCUCUGUUCUGUAUCACAAGAGAACUGAUUCUUAGAGACUGCCUUUUCUGGACUCUGCAUCAAAUUGCUUCUGGCUGGAUUUAGCCAAAUGGAGGGUGGGAGGAGAGGAGAGGCCAGGAUUCUUCUUCUCUGUCUAGUGUGGCAGCAGUUGUGUUUCCUUGGUGGCUCCUGUUCUUAUGGGACACUUUCCAUCGGAUGACCUUGGUCCCUUGGCUCCAGUAACCCUACCUUCUCCCUCUACCCCUAAGGGUAGUGGCAACUUCCUGCUGUUGUCAACCUCUGGGUUUCCUUAUUUUCAUUUCUUUCAUCACCAGUAUAGCCAAUUUCCUGGAAUAAAUUCCCUCUUUUAAAUGCAUAACUGGCUUGCUUUCCUGGCUCAACCUUGACUGAUACAUAUACUUCAGCCUGAUAAUGUUUCCAUCUCUGACAUAAUGUUGUGAUUCCACCACUGAGGUCUUUGAUCUUUGUGCUAAGGUUUUUGCGCUACACACACAAACUGGCCAGGGCAGUGGUGAGGAGACAUGGGGUCAAGGUGAUUGAGAAAACAAACAAACAAACAAUUAUCAAUCACCUGCCCAAAUUCAAGCCACUCUACUGCCCCUCAAGUUGAGGAAGACUUUCUCCACCAUCAUUCACAAAAUUUUAACGCCCAAGUCUCUUCUUAGCUGAAGUGUUAUAGUUGAUGACUAAUGAGCUGGGCUGGAAAAGGUUGCUGGUACCUCCCCAAUUGACCUCGUGGGGAAGAAGGGAGCAGGUGAGUUCCUGG